UACCUGUGAAGCAUCCUGUUUAAGUCAGGCAACGAGCCGAGACCCCACGCCCACAGUUUGCCAGCGUACUCUCUGGAGUGACGGGGUACACUGUGGGGACCGCCGCUGCUAAAGCGGAGGAAGGAAUGGGCAACGGUAGGUCAGUAUGCCCCGAAUAUCCCGGGCUACACGCGAGCUACAAUGGUUGGUACAAUGGGUAUCUACCCCGAAAGGGGACGGGAAUCUCCUAAAACCAAUCUUAGUUCGGAUUGAGGGCUGCAACUCGCCCUCAUGAAGCUGGAAUCCGUAGUAAUCGCGUUUCAACAGAACGCGGUGAAUACGUCCCUGCUCCUU
This 333-nucleotide ribosomal RNA is filed under the name uncultured Methanosaeta sp. Its description in RNAcentral is "bacterial SSU rRNA". It matches the Rfam family "Archaeal small subunit ribosomal RNA", at positions 1012 to 1338 of the family's 1478-position model. Lineage: Archaea; Methanobacteriati; Methanobacteriota; Methanomicrobia; Methanotrichales; Methanotrichaceae. The record is from RNAcentral.